This 584-nucleotide ribosomal RNA is filed under the name uncultured Tricholoma. RNAcentral's name for it is "eukaryotic LSU rRNA". The stretch from base 178 to 331 matches the Rfam family "5.8S ribosomal RNA". The record is from RNAcentral. Lineage: Eukaryota; Fungi; Basidiomycota; Agaricomycetes; Agaricales; Tricholomataceae.
CAUGUGCACGCCUAACACCAGUCUUUUUUCACCCUUUACCCCCUGUGCACUUUUUGUAGGCCUGGAUCGAGGAACCUUGGUUUCNGUUCUAGCCUAUGUCACUUUGUAUUCACUCCGUAUGUCUAGAAUGUUGUUGUUAUUUGAUGCGAUUCAUCAUCGCUCUGGACAUCUUAAUACAACUUUCAACAAUGGAUCUCUUGGCUCUCGCAUCGAUGAAGAACGCAGCGAAAUGCGAUAAGUAAUGUGAAUUGCAGAAUUCAGUGAAUCAUCGAAUCUUUGAACGCACCUUGCGCUCCUUGGUAUUCCGAGGAGCAUGCCUGUUUGAGUGUCAUUGAAGUUCUCAACCUCUUCAGCUUUUGUUGAUCAGGCUUGGACCUUGNNAGCUGUGCCGGCUUUUCGAAGUCUGCUCUCCUCAAAUGUAUCGGCUGGCCUCUUGUUGUCCUACUGCCGUUGGUGUGAUAAUUAUCUACGCCAUUGUGUACAACCAGGGUGUGAUAGCUUCUAAUCGGUUUCGUAUGAGACUGUGACUGUGGUGUUGACCUCAAAUCAGGUGGGACUACCCGCUGAACUUAAGCAUAUCAAUA